CGAAAGCCUGACGGAGCAACGCUGCGUGAGGGAUGGAGGCCUUUGGGCUGUAAACCUCUUUUCUCAAGGAAGAAGAUCUGACGGUACUCGAGGAAUAAGCCACGGCUAAUUCCGUGCCGGCAGCCGCGGUAAUACGGGAGUGGCAAGCGUUAUCCGGAAUUAUUGGGCGUAAAGCGUCCGCAGGCGGCCGUUUAAGUCUGUUGUUAAAUCGUGGGGCUCAACUCCAUCACGGCAAUGGAAACUGUUCGGCUUGAGUAUGGUAGGGGCAGAGGGAAUUUCCGGUGUAGCGGUGAAAUGCGUAGAUAUCGGGAAGAACACCAGUGGCGAAAGCGCUCUGCUGGGCCAUUACUGACGCUCAUGGACGAAAGCCAGGGGAGCGAAAGGGAUUAGAUACCCCUGUAGUCCUGGCCGUAAACGAUGAACACUAGAUGUUGGGGGAAUCGACCCCCUCGGUGUCGUAGCUAACGCGUUAAGUGUUCCGCCUGGGGAGUACGCACGCAAGUGUGAAACUCAAAGGAAUUGACGGGGGCCCGCACAAGCGGUGGAGUAUGUGGUUUAAUUCGAUGCAACGCGAAGAACCUUACCAAGGCUUGACAUCCUGCGAAUCUCUAAGAAAUUAGAGAGUGACUUCGGGAACGCAGUGACAGGUGGUGCAUGGCUGUCGUCAGCUCGUGUCGUGAGAUGUUGGGUUAAGUCCCGCAACGAGCGCAACCCACGUUUUUAGUUGCCAGCAUUCAGUUGGGCACUCUAGAAAGACUGCCGGUGACAAACCGGAGGAAGGUGUGGACGACGUCAAGUCAUCAUGCCCCUUACGCCUUGGGCUACACACGUACUACAAUGCUGCGGACAAAGAGUAGCGAUCUUGCGAAAGUUAGCUAAUCUCAUAAACCGUGGCUCAGUUCAGAUCGUAGGCUGCAACUCGCCUACGUGAAGGAGGAAUCGCUAGUAAUCGCAGGUCAGCAUACUGCGGUGAAUACGUUCCCGGGCCUUGUACACACCGCCCGUCACACCAUGGAAGUUGGCCAUGCCCGAAGUCGUUACUCUAACCUUUUGGAAGAGGGCGCCGAAGGCAGGGCUAAUGACUGGGGUGAAGUCGUAACAAGGUAGCCGUAGCGGAAGCUGCGGCUGGAUCACCUCCUAA
RNAcentral lists this ribosomal RNA (1141 nucleotides) under Candidatus Synechococcus spongiarum. RNAcentral's name for it is "bacterial SSU rRNA". It matches the Rfam family "Bacterial small subunit ribosomal RNA", at positions 376 to 1533 of the family's 1533-position model. Lineage: Bacteria; Bacillati; Cyanobacteriota; Cyanophyceae; Synechococcales; Synechococcaceae. The record is from RNAcentral.